Molecule: ribosomal RNA, 863 nt
Filed under: Burkholderia multivorans
Lineage: Bacteria; Pseudomonadati; Pseudomonadota; Betaproteobacteria; Burkholderiales; Burkholderiaceae
Description: partial 23S ribosomal RNA
Rfam family: Bacterial large subunit ribosomal RNA
Source: RNAcentral
CGCAUGGUAGGAGAGCGUUCCGUAAGCCUGCGAAGGUGCCUUGUAAAGGGUGCUGGAGGUAUCGGAAGUGCGAAUGCUGACAUGAGUAGCGAUAAAGGGGGUGAAAGGCCCCCUCGCCGUAAGCCCAAGGUUUCCUACGCAACGUUCAUCGGCGUAGGGUGAGUCGGCCCCUAAGGCGAGGCAGAAAUGCGUAGCUGAUGGGAAGCAGGUCAAUAUUCCUGCACCGUCGUUAGAUGCGAUGGGGGGACGGAUCGCGGAAGGUUGUCCGGGUGUUGGACGUCCCGGUCGCUGCAUUGGAGAAGGCGCUUAGGCAAAUCCGGGCGCAGGAUUCAAGGGUGUGGCGCGAGCGACUUCGGUCGCGAAGCAAUUGGAAGUGGUUCCAAGAAAAGCCUCUAAGCUUCAGUCUAACGAUGACCGUACCGCAAACCGACACAGGUGGGCGAGAUGAGUAUUCUAAGGCGCUUGAGAGAACUCGGGAGAAGGAACUCGGCAAAUUGGUACCGUAACUUCGGGAUAAGGUACGCCCUUGUAGCUUGACCAGCCUGCGCUGGAAGGGUGAAGGGGUUGCAAUAAACUGGUGGCUGCGACUGUUUAAUAAAAACACAGCACUCUGCAAACACGAAAGUGGACGUAUAGGGUGUGACGCCUGCCCGGUGCCGGAAGAUUAAAUGAUGGGGUGCAAGCUCUUGAUUGAAGUCCCGGUAAACGGCGGCCGUAACUAUAACGGUCCUAAGGUAGCGAAAUUCCUUGUCGGGUAAGUUCCGACCUGCACGAAUGGCGUAACGAUGGCCACACUGUCUCCUCCCGAGACUCAGCGAAGUUGAAGUGUUUGUGAUGAUGCAAUCUACCCGCGGCUAGACGGA